GGUAAUAUCAGUCAGGUAACCUGAGACACAUAUAAUAUUCGUAAAACUAAUAAAGAACUCUCCCACUUUCUCCCCCACAUUCUCCCCACCGUCCUUCUUGAGUUUUUGGAGAGUGCCUAACAUAUAGUGGGUGCUGCUGUAAACAGAUAUUAAUGAGGGUAGUAUUGUCUCACGUUACAUGACGCUUUCCCUCAUCUUUAAAGCACUCCAUAAUGCUGCUUCUCCCAGCAUCUCAGCUCCUCCUACACAUCUCCCCGUUCCCUAUGCUCCACCCAAGCGGCUACCCUGACAGCUCCAUUUGGCUAUGGCUACACUGCACACCACUGGCAGCAGCGCAUAAGCAUCACAGUUACUGUCUGAGGAGCCAUCUCUCUCACCAUCAUAACAGUUCUGAGGAUCAAUCUUUUCCAUGGAACAUUGCAUCUUGGAACAUUAUGAAUAUACAAAGAAUCUAGGGCUUGAGGCUAAGAAGAUCUGCAGGAUCCAAAUGGUGGAAUAUGCUAGACACAGAAAAGGAAUGUAAAGGUUGCUGAGGACGCUCUUAGAAGUUGGUAAUUGGAACCAUCUGUGCCGUGGGCUGAAAUGGCAUUUAGGAAUCAUCCACUGAAUGUCCUGGCCACACUCCUUACCCUCUGGCCACGUCACUUACACCAGUAGCAGAGACAGAGGGUGGCAUCGCUCCUACACUGAAGCAAUCUUCCUAUGGCCAGUUCAACUGGCUUUACAAGCAGAAUCCCCAGGGAAGGCACACCCAAGGAUCUUGCUCUUAAUUGUUAAGAGGCGCGGCCUACACUGGCCACAGGUUCCAACAUGUGACUUGAUACUUCAUCUUGAUCCAAGCAAUCUCUGCAAGGGUCAAAACGGAGGCAUUAGACCUGUCGUUCCUGUUGCAGAUAAGAGCAGCGGGGAGACAUAUUCUAAAACUCUAUGGGCACUAUUGUGAAUACUCCUAUGCCCCUUCCAGAUGAUUUCUUUAAAUACUGCUGCUGUUUUAUUUGGAUUUUAAAAAUGUUUAAUUAAAAGGUGGUUCAAUAAUAAACAUAUAUUUUUUACUGUAGAGUGCACAAUGUAAUAUCAGACAUUUGUAGAAAUGAGUUUCCACAGAAAAGAAAACUAUUAUUCUUAUAUUCAGAAGGUAGGUGUGCCUGGCUUGACUUUCUAAAACAGCAAGUGACUAACCUUUUCCAGUAGCAUAGUUCUUGUAACCUUUCAGUUAGUUUUUCUUUUUUUAAGAGCUGCAUGCUCUGAAUGGAUCUUUUCCAGGCUACUACUUUAUGACUGAUUGUGCUGUUGCUUUCAAUCUGAGUAAUGCUCAAAUUCUUAAAUGUAAUCUGACAUUUACAGACUAUUGCCAAGAUAUCCAGAACAUGGAGGUCUGGCAACUAAGUUCUUGUUGCACUGCAAGGAUGAUCAAAAUGAAAAAUAGCUAUACAAAAUAUUCACAAUAAAAUAUGAAACCAUACCCAUUUAACUAAACGGUGCAGAAGAAAAGCAAAGAAGGGAACAUCAUUUGAAGUCUUAAUUGUAUGUAUUCUUCA
Mauremys mutica (yellowpond turtle) is the source of this 1538-nucleotide long non-coding RNA. RefSeq lists it as uncharacterized. The transcript is spliced from 3 exons. The record is from RefSeq and is a predicted model, not a curated record. NCBI's taxonomy places the organism in Eukaryota, Metazoa, Chordata, Testudines, Geoemydidae.